Molecule: long non-coding RNA, 2191 nt
Filed under: Schizosaccharomyces pombe (fission yeast)
Lineage: Eukaryota; Fungi; Ascomycota; Schizosaccharomycetes; Schizosaccharomycetales; Schizosaccharomycetaceae
Source: RNAcentral
CGAAUAUUAUUUUUAAUUUUAUAAAUUAAAAUUUUACUAACAUUUUCAUCAGUUCUUUGCAAUUUUGCUUACUUGUGAUUAUUACUUUUAAGCAUCACAUGGCUCUAUAAUUAGAUAGAAUAAAGCACGGUUUUAAAGCAUCACUCAAUGUUUUUAUUAUUUUAAACAUAACGUCAAGCGAUAAAUUUUUUGAUUAUGUCGUAAACAAAUGAGUAGUAAUUUCGAAAAGGAAAUUUAACAAUUAUAAUACUAGCUGACAAACUUUUUCACAAAGUUCAUCUGCCGCUUGUUUUGUGCUGGCCUCAGCGUAAACUCGUACAACGUCUUCUGUUCCAGAUGCUCUAACAAAUGAUCUUCCCUUUUCGUACUUUGCAACAAGUGCGUCAAUUUUCUCUUGUAAUCCAUCUGGGCUCACAAGUCUUCGUUCAGCAUCUGUACUUUUAUAUAUUGUGCGAUCGGAAACUUUAACCUUAGCUAGUUUGUUAGGCAAGUCCUUAUAAGUAUUGCUCCAUGCACUAGCAUCCCAAUGUAAUGCAUUAAGUACCGAAAUCGUAGCAAGAAGAUCACUAAUUGCAUCACCUAUAGCUUGGUUGAUCAAAACGGAAUAGCUUUGUAAUUGCUCUAUAGCAGCCGCUUGAACUGGUGAAGGUGUAAAGAAAGGAUGUGCUAAGUUAGCAAGCGCCUUGUCGCUGAACAAAACAGUACCAUGGCCAUUUGCCUCGAAGUAGACACCAAUAUCAAACUCUUUGGCUGCUUUAUGAAGAUGUUUAACACCAGUGGGAGUGAAGACAGUAGUAAUGCCCAAAUCUUGAAGAUACUCAGUUGAAGCGCCAUUGGCGUACGCGGUUUGGACAACGCCUAAAGAAAAAGGCAUACCGGACUUUUUAACCAAUAUGUUCAAGUAGCCAACGAGAGCAGUACUAAUUUUGUCUCCAUCAAGAAGAUGAAAUUUCCUAUUUUGAUUUAUGUAAUAGAAGAUCAGUCGAUCGGCAUCACCAUCAAUGGAAGCGUAGAGUUGAUUUGGCUUAAUUUUUCCUUCAAGGGCAAGCGGAGGGGACUGUUUCGUCUUUACAAAGUCUGCUCCACAGCCAUUGUUAAGUAACUCACUGGCCCGAACAUCUGUGUUAACGAGUUCUAUAGAAAGGCUGUCCUUAACAAGGCCCGCUACUGUUUUUAAGGGUUGCGAUCCUACACCAUUUGCACAGUCUACUACAACGCGAGAAACCGUAGGGCUAUCCUGCAUUGAAGGAUCUAUUUUAGAAAAGGCUGACGUUAAUGUAUCAUAAUACUCAGUAAUGGGUGGCCCUUCUUCAAGAAAAGAAGCUGCGGUAGAUUUGUUUAUCAACCUCACCAGCCAAUGCAACUGUGGUGUUGUAAUAUACCCAUAAUCUAUGUAGCUUGCAGACAUUUCAUCCAAGCAUACCUUCAGUAACUCAGCGAGUCUGGGUGAGGAGGGUCUGGUAUCAUAACCUAUAAUAACUUUGGGCUGGCAGGUAGUAGGAGUCAAAAAUUGCUUGAUUAAAAAAUCAAAUUCUGCCUUGGAAGGGGCGUUCGCAAGUUGUGUGCAUUUAUCCUCCCAUUCCAUAGCGAGCAUACCGCCAUCGGCGUCAAUGAUCUUCACACCAUUAUCUUCCACAGGAUUAUGAGAAGCAGUAAUCAUUACUAUUUAUUAUUAUUAAUCAAAUAUUUCUACUUGACUACACAUACCGCCAAUAGUUUUCCCUUUUAGCUCCAUGCUACGCAAAGCUGCUGCAACUCCAGAACUAUAAACAGCUGCUUCCAAAUCACUAGCUCUUUGAUCAAGUUAAUGAAAGCUGCAUUAUAUUAACUUACUUUGUUCGAAAACCAGCAGUUCCAUAUGAAUAUUUUUUGUUCUUGGUCAUUGUGUUAGUUGCUGUUAGUAAAUAAAGAAGCGAGUUUGUCACGCAAUAAGUAAAUUCAGUCGAAAAUAACAACUCAGCCUCUCUGCAUUUCGCUUCUGCAGAUUGAUAGAUUUUAAAUUAUUUGAUAGCAAUUCGUUUAAAACCUCGAACGUGUUUUGGAGCUAAAAGUACUCUGCACAAUUUUAUAUCCUCUCGUUUUCUUCCAAUGUUUACAUAAAGCCCAUCAUAGUAAUGUUUUUAUUUCAAAUUAGGAACCGCUGUUUCUAAUACAAUUUUUAAGAUUUGGCUCAGAUUAAUCAAUUGCGGUU